RNAcentral lists this ribosomal RNA (254 nucleotides) under uncultured bacterium. RNAcentral describes it as "partial 16S ribosomal RNA". It matches the Rfam family "Bacterial small subunit ribosomal RNA", at positions 524 to 777 of the family's 1533-position model. The record is from RNAcentral.
GACGAACUGUCCUAACGUUGUUCGGAAUCACUGGGCUUAAAGGGCGCGUAGGCGGUCCGACAAGUCAGGGGUGAAAUCCUGCAGCUUAACUGCAGAAGUGCCUUUGAUACUGUCGGUCUUGAGGGAGAUAGGGGUGUGCGGAACUCACAGUGGAGCGGUGAAAUGCGUUGAUAUUGUGAGGAACGCCGGAGGCGAAAGCGGCGCACUGGAUCUCUUCUGACGCUGAGGCGCGAAAGCUAGGGGAGCAAACGGGG